RNAcentral lists this long non-coding RNA (7258 nucleotides) under Elaeis guineensis (African oil palm). RNAcentral's name for it is "long non-coding RNA (EGUI_LNC028709)". Lineage: Eukaryota; Viridiplantae; Streptophyta; Magnoliopsida; Arecales; Arecaceae. The record is from RNAcentral.
GGGGCCAGACCCAUACGAGAGUUUGAAAGGGCCACCUUACCGGCCUAACGUGCCAGAAGGGACCCAACAGCCCCACCACGCAAACGAAGCCCCGUCUAUAAGACUACAUCCAUCUCUAUUUGAAAAGGGGAAAAAAAAAUCUUUCUCACCAUACCAUAAAACCCCACACCUCCUCCACUCUCUCUCUCUAGAGUGAGAUCUUUUCUCCUCUUCUCCGAUGGCCCCCGCCUCUGUUCCCCUGAAUGACCAAACUGCCCCGGCCCCGCCGGCCCGUCCCGCGCUAGCUCGGAGGGCAUUUGGGUCAAUGUAGGGGCGCUGGACAUGGUGGAGCGAUAGAAGGCAGACAGGAUGGAGCCAGGCAUUCGAGAGAGGAACCACGGCGGCUUCCAUGGGGGAGAGAUCCAGCGAGGACGACGCACACCAUUCGCCGUACACCGAAGCUCGGUGUCCCUCGCAUGGUGUUUAUCUAUCUGUACGCACAUGGGAUCUAACGGUCCAUGAUGAUGUAUCACCUCCUCUCCCUUACUUUCCCCCCAACUUUUUUUUUUUUUUUUUUUUUUUGUAGUCUGAUUAUUCUUCUUUCAUGUAUGUUAUGUAAUCGUCGAAUAUACCUUAAUUUUUUUUUUAUGUCACUUUUAAUGGGGAUUGGAUAUUUGGAUUCCAUUGUGCUCUAAUAUUUUUGGUUAGUAACUUGUUAUGGUGGAUUUAUAGGAGUGGUAUUUGAUUGGUGUUGUUUAAUUAAUGUUCUUGGCUGUUAUGCUUAUUUAUUUGCUAAUUAUGGCAGCGAAGGGGUUGGUUUGUUGCUUGUUUAGUAAAUGUUGGCUUGGGGCUUUUGAUAAUAUUCCUAGAUAUGAUUGGAAUGAAUGUUGUUUCUUUGAAUUCUGAUUUGCGUUUUUUGUUUGUGUACAUUAUUUAAGUUGUUCAUUCUGAUUCACAAAUGAAAGGGGUAACGCAUUAUAUCCUUCUAUGAUCGUCCCUUUUAAGCUUCUCUUGUUCAUGAGGAGAAUUAUUAUUGAAACUGUUAUUUUUUCACUUGUUUAAUUUGAUUUUUAAUGUUUAGCAGAAAUUUCUUGUUUUACUCGACAAAAUAUUCUUUUCUUUUGAUUUUUUUAACAAAAAAUUCUUCAAUAAUUUUGUCCAAACUGGUUAUAUAUUCUCUUCAUACUAACGUUUGUUUUUCGUGUCUUUGUCAAUCACGUUGACUAAUGUUUAUGGCAGCAUUGUCCAAUAUGAUAUUUGUAAUAAUUUCUUUUUGUACUUUUUUUUUUGGUUAUCAGUUUAGCAUUGUUGUAGCAUCAAUUCCUUGUUUGAUGUUUUACUCAAAAAAGAUUCUGUUCUCUUUUUUUUUUUUUAGCAUAAAUUCCUUCUGUACUUUUUGUCCAGAUCGGUGAUAUUCUCCUCCUCCUGAUAUGUUUUUUUCCCACAUGAACAUUCUUAUCGACAAAUGUCUCUGGCAGCAUAAUUGAAUACUCAGGCAUUGGUAAACUAGUUGACCUUACUAGUCGACAGCCUCUUGUGAGAUUGCAAACUGACCCAUAUUGCAGCACUAUCUCCUUAUUGCUUAAAUCUAGUCACUCUAUCUUUUCUAUGCAACCCCGAUAUGCAUAAUGAUAUAUUGCCUAAAGUAAUAAAUGUGAGUUUCAGCAUCUUAGAUGAUGAUUUUGCUAUGAUUAUCAUAUGACAAGAAUGUGGGGUGAUUUGGCUCUCUUACUCCCACCUUCAUUUUUUGUGUGUCUAUGGCACUUGCAUUAGCAAGGGGAAUCUGUGAUCUUUAUCAAACUUAACUUGGUAAUGACAUAUAUUGAACUUGCUUGAUAGAUUUAUGAUCAUAUUAUAGCUAGAAUAGCAUCUCCAUUUUAAGUGUAGAGGUUCAGUGAAUGGUUCUGUUUAUUCCUCUUGGUUUGUUAUCUUGAGUACUAGACUUCUAUUGGCUUUUCUAUUAGCUUUUAAGGACUUGACAUGAUAAUCCCCUUUUCCUUAUCUUUUUCUUCUUGCCAAUCUUGGAGCAAAUAUUCAAUAGGAUGCUGGAGCAAGGGUCGUUUUCAAACUUCACCUCUAUAAAACUAUUUCUCGGUUGCCUUUUUGAAUGAUACCAGCUUCCUUUGCAAACCCUUCUUCCAUACAUGUAAUGCUUGUGUUGCUCUUCUUUGUGUCAAUCUUGUGAAAAAUAGAAAUACUCAAGCCUUAUCUGGUGUUCAAUUGGAAGAUAAAGUCAUUUUCUUAAUUGCCUUAUGACUUUAGAAAAGAGCAAGAUAGAUGUUGGUGGAUGGCAACUUUGGAUGCCACCUUGUACCAACAAAAGCCUAAGAAGUUUGAUAGAGAAUUGAAUGGAGAAAGACUUAGCCUCUUGGAAAAGGAACUAACAAGGUCCAUAAUCUGGAUACUGGAUACCAUAUUGGUAUCUUACUAGUUUGGUACGGCACGACAUGCACUCUAUACCGUUAUAGCUCUCUAACUUCUUUUUUUAAUUUUUGUCUUGGUGUGCCUUGAUAUAGAUUAGCACGCUUCUAUACAAGAUGAUACAUACCUCAAUACAUUUCGGUAUGCUUCGAUAUGCCUCGGUGUAGGUUGGUAUGUCAUAGUAUAGGAUAGUAUGGUUCGGUAUGGGGCGGUAAGGGCUUAUAUUGGCUUGAAGUUGAAUUUCAUGCUAAUUUUCUCUCAGUAUGGUGUGGUACAUCCUGUACUAAAUGGUAGCAACGGUACGGCAAACCAUGGGAACUAGCAUUGUUUGGUGGGUAUCCUUGUUUUGGUUCAAUCUACCCUUGCUAUUAUUCCUGUAUAUUCUUUUAGCAUUUAAGUUUUGCUCAUGAAUCACUUGGUGAUCUUAUACAUGCAUUCUUUGGGGAGAGUGUGGUGAAUUAGAUGAGCUUUAAAUUGGAAACUUGAGAAGAGUUUUGUGUACUUGAGGGUCUUGUUGUUUCUAGUUUAAAAUCUCAAUCAGCCUUAUGUGGUUCUUUUGCAUUCGUGAUGUUGCAAAAACUAGAAACCUUGUUUGGAUCUCUCAUUGUUUACAAGUAUCGAACUUCUGAGGAAAGUGUUAUUGAAGGUCACUAGUGUGUGCUGAAGGAAUCUAUUGCCAUUCUGAAGUCAUGGAAGGCCAUAUAACACUUUGAGUAGGUCUGCCCUGAGGCUGCAACAUUUAUGGAGACAAGAAUAUUGUUUGGGCUUGAAGAGAGAGGGUCAGAAAUAAUCAUAGGAUUGGUGGCACUUGACGAGGUUUCUUUGGCCAUGGAGAAGGAAAAAAAACUUGGAUCGUUGCUUAUUUAAGCAAAGUGCUGUGAUAACAUAAAGGAAUUAUUGAGGCUGAAUGUUUGAGGUAAAAGGCUGCACAUGAUUUAUCCAUUGCUUGUAAAUUUAUAGUAUAUAGGACCAAUAUUAUUGAAGGAAAUAAUUUACAAAAAUGAUAUAUUUUCAUAAUGUAAAGGAAAGAUUUUGAGUUGUGGCACUAUAUGCAAGAAUCCCUUAUUCAGCUUGAUUCUCCAUGAUUCUUGCCGAUAAAGAAAGUUUUAUAAUUGUUAUACAAUAUGCAAGAUUCUUUUAGUCAAUGUGAUUCUCUAUGAUUCUUGGGCUAUAUAAUUCUUUCCAAUAGGAAAAGAUUUUGAACUGUUGCACUAUAUAUAAGAAUAUCUUGAUCAAUGUGAUGCUCCAUAAUUCUCACUUUGCAAUGGUAAGCGAUGAUUCUCACCAGUAUGUGCCUAGGGUUUCAAGGGGAUUGUGUUUUCUGUGGGUCUAGUGCCUGGUAAAGAAUUAGCCUCCUAGGAUGGUGCUCAUAUUCCUUGUUGGAGGAAUAAUUGGUACCAUAGUCUCUCUCAGUGUGAAUUUCCUUUUUCAAGUUUUAUUUUUUCAGUUUCUUCUUAAUGCUACUUUCAUGCUUGUGGUUAAAUGUGGCUAUGAAUUACCUGUAUAAGAUUUUUUUUGAUUUAUUUUUGGUGGGUUGGUAAUCUGUGAUAGGAAGAUACCUGCAUAUGAUUGCAAAUAAAACUGAGAGUACAACUUUUAUGUGGCAUUUUCUAGUUAAGAACUUAUUGACUAGGUUUUUUGAAACCCAGACCUGGUCAUACUUUUUGGUUUCAGAAGACUAAUUUGUAGUUUCUUUUUCCCAUUAAUGAGAAAUCUAAAGUAGAAAAAAUCAAAAGAAUAAAGGAGAUUGGAUUCAGAAAAGCUAUCUUCUCAUUUAUGAUGCCAAAUAACUCAGAUUUAUAUGAACCUUCUGAGGACAUUGGGAAAAAAAUUUUACUUCACUAAUACAUCAUUUCAAGGAUGUCUUCAUCUCCUCUCCAAGAAAGAGGUCUCAGGUUCAGACCUCAAAAGCAUUGAAUAACCACUGCAUUCUCAACAAAGAAAAAAUGCCGUACUUCAUCUGACAUUAGUGCUAGAUUAGAUGCUCGAAUUUUUGCGGUUAUCAGAUAAUUUUGCUAACACUGGGGAAUGUUUGAAGUUUAUUCUUCAGCCUAUAGCUUAUACCUUAGAAAAGGCUUAAGUUUUGUGUAUCAAAUGUUUCUUUCUGUUUCUACUGUCUUUCCAAGUCAAUGAAAAUCAUAGAUGAUUGUUCUCUGGUUGAAUCGCAUGUUGACUUUCCCUGUUUCAUGGUCCAAUUUAAUGUUAUUUGCUCCCUUUUAUGUUGGGCAAAUCUCGUUUGCCCUUCCUUUAAUCAAGUCAACAAGUCAAUGUCAUGACACAUAAAGCAACUCAAAGUACGUCUCCAUCACUAUAUCCUAAUAUAUUUCUAUAUUGCAACGCUUGAGCUUUUGCUUAAUGCUCUUUAUUUUUAACUUUAUCCUUUCAAAAUUUACCACAACUACCUUGGUUCAAUUUUUUUUAGUGUACAUCCUGUGCUUCUGACUUGGACCUCUUUGCUCUGCCCACCACAUAUAUUUAUAUGGCAAAGUUGGUAGAAAUUCCCCUUAUCAAGUCUCAAUAGACAUUUUAGAGACUGUCCGCUACAUUAAUCUUCUGUAGAAUCCUCUAUGAGGCAUUGUGUAAAUUAUUUCAUCAUCUAAAUAGUCAAACCAAUUUAAUCAACUACAUUAUCUCUGUAACUCUUCAUCACCUUUACAAUAAAACCAAGUUAGCAAAGGUGAGCCAUCAUAGGGUACAUUCUCUCUAAUGAUACCAACAGUCUUCUGUACUAGAGGGUUCCUUUUUAUGACGUUACUUUCAGUAAUAGGGUUCAUUGUUUCUGAAUAUAUAUCUGUUCAGCUCGACCUACUGUUUCAUUCUGCACUUUGGGUCGCAGAAUGUUCUUCAAGAUUCCUGGCUUAUGGCAGAAAUUGUUGGUUAUGGAGUCAAGCAUCAUGAGGAGGUAAAAGGAUAUUAUUUUGAUUGUGUUAUUUUACAUGGUAUGAAUAUUUCUCAAACACAAUCAUCUUUUCGAUACUUGUUUUUCUGUCUUUCAAAUUAUAUUCAGUAUCUCAUUCUUAGUUGCCAACAGCAUCAGAUUAUGAAUUACAUUGAUUGCAGUCCUUGUGUCCUAUAGAGGGAGGGAUGGAUGGAUGGAUGUAUGGAUAGACACACACACACACACACACAGAGGGAGGGGAAGAGAGAGAGCUUAAUGGUCCACACAUAUGAGGUUGAAUGUGUGCAUGUCCUAUUGUUUCCUUAUCUGUUACUUUACUGCAUAAUUAGAUGAUUUGAUAUUCCUCCAGUAAAUGCUCAUGAUCAACACAUGUCAAUUCUAGCCUUAAGACUGAUGUAAUGAGUCCCUUUUUUUAAUAUCUUAUUCCAUUAAACUUACUCUCAUUUUUUUAGCUGUAUCAUGCUUGUCCUUAAACUACUUUUGUAGCUAAAUAUCUGUUGGGCAUAUUAUUGAUCCACCCUGUUUGGUGUCAUUCAAAAUAGUCACAGAACCCAUACUUUCUAGAACCAUGCUAACAAUCUCCUUCUCCUUUCAGGGAAACCUUUCUGCCAUGGCAGUCUGUUAGCCAUAUAGUCUUUCUUUCCCAUCUUGUCCAGUUCUGCGCAUCUAGAAUUUUUCUCCCUUUUCUUUUCUUUUAGGUUUGCCUGAUGCUUUCUCUCCAAUGUCAAAAGAUUAGUCUUUAUCUCAAUCUACAGAAUCUUUUGACUCUGCAAUUGCCACCAUAUGAAAUUCAAACUGUUACACUAAAAUGCUGCCUAAAUUAGUUUCCAUAUCACUCCAAAUCAUUGGUCAUGGUCUAUUACCUUCACUGUUUAUUGGAUUGCUAAAGGUUCAAAGAUGCUUGUUCCAUCAUGAUGGGACAUCCACCGCAUGGAGCACUGGAAUUUUAUCUAGUUGUCAAAGUGAAUUCCAGUCGUAAAGUACAGGCAAUCAUUGUUUGUAUGGUAAGAACCAGUGAUAUUCUUGAAGGAGCAUCUCUAACAUCACAGGUUCUUCUAGAUAUCAAAUUAGUAGCAUGUUUUCCAGAUAAUGAUUUCCAAUUUGUUCUACCAUUUUGAGAAUUAGAGUGGUGUUCUUCUAGCAUCUAGUGUACUGAAGAUAACUUGUCCUGUUACCUGUAGAGAAGAAUAAGGGGAUUCGUUUUUCUUGAAUUGUGUUUCGUAUACUAUCACCAGGCAUGACUUCGCUCAAGUGAAAUCCUGCUGCUAGACUAGUCCAGUAGAAAAAUUUAUACCAAUAAAAAUAUGUUUGUUUGGGGAGUAUUGAAUUUUAGGAUAAAAAUCAGUAACUCUGAUUCCAACUAUUUGAUUAAGGAGAAUUUCAUCUUAUUUUAAUUUUUAAAAAAAUAAAAAUAUCUUAAUUUUUUAAAAUUUAAUUUUUAUUUUUUAUAAUAUUUAAAUUUUAUUUUAAUUUUAAUUAUGAACUAAAUAUAUUAGAAGGUUCGAUUAUUUUUAUUUUCGUUUCAAUCUAUUUUAAUUUUAAUUUUAAUUUUAACUAUAAUUAUGAAUCCAAUGCAUUCUAAAAUUAUUGUCAGUGGUUAUUACUGCAUGUGGUUGCAGGAUGUGAUGUGACGUUGGUGUAAUUGUGCGAUAUGUGUGGAAACGCUGUCACGCAUAAAUCAUUAAUGAUUGCCACUGUUGAAGUGAUGUUUGAUGAACCUCUAAGACUACGUUGUUGAAUAUUUUCUUCCUGCAUGGAAAAUGAAUUCGGAUAAGUACUACUGACUGACGCUGAUUACGGUAAUCAGUCCUUAUGGCUUUGAAUACAGCAUUAUCAAUUCCUAAAUUUGGAAUCUUGCUUGUCUUUAGUUAUAUAUGUGACAAAGUUGUCAUGAAUAUUAUAAAACAUAUGGUUCCACUCAUUGACUACCAUUCAUGCACAUAGUGCAAUCAGAGACGG